This 191-nucleotide non-coding RNA is filed under the name Clostridium pasteurianum. Its description in RNAcentral is "6S RNA". It matches the Rfam family "6S / SsrS RNA". From Rfam's summary of the family: E. coli 6S RNA was the first non coding RNA to be sequenced, but its function was unknown until recently. It consists of 184 nucleotides that fold into an extended hairpin structure with a large single-stranded internal bulge. The record is from RNAcentral. RNAcentral also lists the same sequence under 1 other name. Lineage: Bacteria; Bacillati; Bacillota; Clostridia; Eubacteriales; Clostridiaceae.
UAUAUUCUGGGGUAUUUGUGAAGCUCUUAUUUUGAACCUACAGUUCAAGCAAGGGAGUUCAAUAUUUAGAUGAGGAUAUGUACAUUCUAGUGAGCCCUUUUAUGGCAUGAAUGAGUUAGAGGCAUCUGUGAGAGCACCCACCUAUCGAGAGAUAGGUGUCAAAAUUAGAGUAACGGUAUUUUGGAAUUACA